This 581-nucleotide long non-coding RNA is filed under the name Mytilus galloprovincialis (Mediterranean mussel). The record is from RNAcentral. Lineage: Eukaryota; Metazoa; Mollusca; Bivalvia; Mytilida; Mytilidae.
AAGAUCUACAGGAAUGUCUGUAUGAGUGAAACCAUUGGAUGACUCCUUAUAGCUACCAAAAAGCUACAAUAGAUCUACAUAAGUGGUACUAUGUAAUUAUGACUGGAACCAAUGGAAGACUACUUAACGGAGUUGUUACAUUUACAUGAUACCUUCUGUUCAACAUAAAGUUGAUAUGUUGGACUUUUAAACAACCAAAAUUACUGUUUAAAUGACAAUUACUUUAGUUUUAGUUGAUGGAUCUCUAUGAAGUUUAAGGGAGUGAUGGUCCAAACCGUUUAGAAAUAAGGGAUAAAAACACAUUUUCUAGUUUCAGGAAAAUAACUGGUUUACAAGUAUUUUGAUUGGUCAGAAAUUGUACCACAAGUUGAAGGUCGAGAUUCAAUUUGGAGGUGAUUGUGCAAAUUGUUCAGGAGUUAGGGGCCAAAAAGGAUAUGACAAGUAUCAAAUUUUACAAAAAGAAAAAUUCUACCAAAAAUAUUUUUUUGGGAAGUGGAUAAUUGUUACGCUUCUGCCCUUAUUUCAAAUCCAUAUAACAUUGUACUUACUGCAUUAAUUAUGUAAUUUUUAAGCACUAGCCG